Drosophila biarmipes is the source of this 478-nucleotide long non-coding RNA. RefSeq lists it as uncharacterized. The record is from RefSeq and is a predicted model, not a curated record. The transcript is spliced from 2 exons. Lineage: Eukaryota; Metazoa; Arthropoda; Insecta; Diptera; Drosophilidae.
UGCCGAUAGACUAAGUUAUCAUCAUCACCAUUUAUAUUUUCCCAAAAAAAAUAAAUAACCUGCAGUUUUAAAACAAGGCUUCUCUCUGCUGGCCUUUUGACGCCCUCGGUUUGCUCGAAUAGCUAGGGUUGUGGAUAGUAAAGCCAAAAUCAAAGUGACUAGCAGUACACACGUUCUCAUCGUAAACGUCUUCCAAUUGGCAGUGAGAAUAAGCAACAAGAUUAUAUUUCAAGUCAGCAUAAUACUAUCCCAGAUGUAAUCCAAUGAAUCAAAAGAGAAGCAGGAAGGACUAAAAUCCUCAAUAGAAAGAUGUGCUUACAGCUAAAAUAAUAUUUAUUUUUUAAAAAUGCGUUUAUCAUUGGUUGUCCUCCAAUGGAGAAAUUAUCAGAUGUAAAGCUGAUAAGAAAUGUUAUAUUUAUUGUUUUAUUUUAUUUUUGAAAUUUUGGUUUAGGAUAAUAAUAACAUUUGCCUCCGUCAA